Molecule: microRNA precursor, 73 nt
Filed under: Spodoptera frugiperda (fall armyworm)
Lineage: Eukaryota; Metazoa; Arthropoda; Insecta; Lepidoptera; Noctuidae
Description: microRNA sfr-mir-10463 precursor
Source: miRBase by way of RNAcentral
UACCAUUCAGGGAUUAAAGGCGCAACGAUAUGUAUAAUGUAUAUAUCGUCACACCCUUAAUCCCCGAAGGGUA